UCAAAGACCCUUCCACGGCUCCCUGGUGCCUGUGGCAAGCCCAGCCUUCUUUGGCCUCUUCUCUACGGACCACCUUGCCAGCCUGUACCCUCAGAACCUCCGAGCUGCAGCCUGGGCCCGGCCGCAGGAGGGUGACUCCCCACUCUGGUGAAGCAAUUAAGGACACUUUCAAAUGCUGAGUGGCUGCCGGGAGGCAGCUCUGACCAGGCCCCGACAGAGGAGGCUAACAUGGGAUCCUGACGUCAGAGCAGGGAACAGAGAGAGCUCCAUAAAGGCCCUCCCUCCAGCUCUAGGCUAUCACUGCAAGAGGGCUUGUAAAGGUCCUCACUGGCUCCUUGAGAAAACAGGCCCUUUGAUGAGCAGUGGGUUCCAGGCCCCCAGACCUUAAGCUGGAUCGACACGCUGAAGCCUCCCAGCCUGCAAUCCUCAGGACUCACAGAUGCUGGGAAAGCAAGUGUUAAAUAAUAAUCACGAUGUGCCGGAGGGGAAGCCGGAUGUGUUGGAAAGCUUGACACAUCUGGCAGGGCCAGCCCUAGUCCCCCGGCACAUCUGGCUGCUGUAUUGACAGGUGGUGCUGUGGGUCACUGAGGAAGGUCCUGGUGGGCCCAGUCCCGGUGCCACAAGGGUGGGGGCUGACGGCCGGAUGAAGCCGGGGAGCAUCUCCCACACUGCCCACAGGCUAUCACCCUCUUGCCGGUCCCCUUCGGGCCACCUGUUGUACUUUGGUGGCUGUGCUCAAAGAGGCCAACUUAGGACCCAGAACCUCAUCUGCCAGAUUCUAAAAGCCCUGCAACAUGUUGUUGGAGCCAGCCGCCCCUGCCCGGGUUCGGGAAGUCGGGAAAGGCCCCUCCCCUCUUCAGCUGGAGGGGGUGGAUUUUCGGGGUCACCUCACGUAGCACUUCCCUUUCUAUGGAAUCCAGAAAUGUGGUCAUCAGCUCCACCUGAGGGAGCCCCCUGGGCUGAGACGGGCCUCCUCCCUCCUCCCACCUGCCCCAAGAAAGCCAUGGUCAUUAAUAAAGGACACAAUUAGCUGUC
Molecule: long non-coding RNA, 1035 nt
Organism: Lutra lutra (Eurasian river otter)
Lineage: Eukaryota; Metazoa; Chordata; Mammalia; Carnivora; Mustelidae
Exons: 3
Source: RefSeq, a predicted model, not a curated record